RNAcentral lists this small nuclear RNA (104 nucleotides) under Dasypus novemcinctus (nine-banded armadillo). The record is from RNAcentral. Lineage: Eukaryota; Metazoa; Chordata; Mammalia; Cingulata; Dasypodidae.
GUGCUUGCUUCAGCAGCACGUAUACUAAAAUUGGAACAAUACAGAGAUUAGUGUGGCCCCUGUGCAAGGAUGACAUGCAAAUUUGUGAAGCGUUUCAUAUUUUU